This 254-nucleotide ribosomal RNA is filed under the name uncultured bacterium. Its description in RNAcentral is "partial 16S ribosomal RNA". It matches the Rfam family "Bacterial small subunit ribosomal RNA", at positions 524 to 776 of the family's 1533-position model. The record is from RNAcentral.
GACAGAGGGUGCAAACGUUGUUCGGAAUUACUGGGCGUAAAGCGCGUGUAGGCGGCUAAGUAAGUCGGGCGUGAAAUCCCACGGCUCAACCGUGGAAGUGCACUCGAAACUGCAUAGCUAGAGUCCUGGAGAGGAAGGUGGAAUGCUUGGUGUAGAGGUGAAAUUCGUAGAUAUCAAGCGGAACACCGGUGGCGAAGGCGGCCUUCUGGGCAGUGACUGGACGCUGAGACGCGAAAGCGUGGGGAGCAAACAGG